RNAcentral lists this transfer RNA (72 nucleotides) under Candidatus Gugararchaeum adminiculabundum. RNAcentral's name for it is "tRNA-Ala(ggc)". It matches the Rfam family "tRNA". From Rfam's summary of the family: Transfer RNA (tRNA) molecules are approximately 80 nucleotides in length. Their secondary structure includes four short double-helical elements and three loops (D, anti-codon, and T loops). The record is from RNAcentral. Lineage: Archaea; Nanobdellati; Microcaldota; Candidatus Micrarchaeia; Candidatus Gugararchaeales; Candidatus Gugararchaeaceae.
GGGCUCGUAGCGAAACGGUAUCGCGCCUGCAUGGCAUGCAGGAGACUGCGGGUUCGAUUCCCGCCGAGUCCA